AUUGAACGCUGGCGGCAUGCCUUACACAUGCAAGUCGAACGGUAACAGGUCUUCGGAUGCUGACGAGUGGCGAACGGGUGAGUAAUACAUCGGAACGUGCCUAGUAGUGGGGGAUAACUACUCGAAAGAGUGGCUAAUGCCGCGUGAGAUCUACGGAUGAAAGCAGGGGAUCGCAAGACCUUGUGCUACUAGAGCGGCCGAUGGCAGAUUAGGUAGUUGGUGGGAUAAAAGCUUACCAGGCCGACGAUCUGUAGCGGGUCUGAGAGGACGAUCAGCCACACUGGGACUGAGACACGGCCCAGACUCCUACGGGAGGCAGCAGUGGGGAAUUUUGGACAAUGGGCGAAAGCCUGAUCCAGCAAUGCCGCGUGCAGGAUGAAGGCCUUCGGGUUGUAAACUGCUUUUGUACGGAACGAAAAGCCCCGGGUUAAUACCCUGGGGUCAUGACGGUACCGUAAGAAUAAGCACCGGCUAACUACGUGCCAGCAGCCGCCGUAA
This 498-nucleotide ribosomal RNA is filed under the name uncultured bacterium. Its description in RNAcentral is "partial 16S ribosomal RNA". It matches the Rfam family "Bacterial small subunit ribosomal RNA", at positions 30 to 523 of the family's 1533-position model. The record is from RNAcentral.